This 300-nucleotide unclassified non-coding RNA is filed under the name uncultured Entolomataceae. RNAcentral describes it as "sequence contains 5.8S rRNA gene, ITS2". The stretch from base 1 to 71 matches the Rfam family "5.8S ribosomal RNA", at positions 84 to 154 of the family's 154-position model. Lineage: Eukaryota; Fungi; Basidiomycota; Agaricomycetes; Agaricales; Entolomataceae. The record is from RNAcentral.
GUGAGUCAUCGAAUCUUUGAACGCACCUUGCGCUCCUUGGUAUUCCGAGGAGCAUGCCUGUUUGAGUGUCAUGAAAUUCUCAACCUCUCUGAUUAAGUGAGGCUUGGAUUUUGGGAGUUGCUGGCUUCUUUAGAUGUCAGCUCUUCUUAAAUAUAUUAGCAAGACCUUAUGCUGAUUCGUCUUUGGUAAUGAUAAAUUAUCUAUACCUUUGAGAACCAGAAUUGCUUCUAAUAGUCUAUUUUUGGACAACUUGAAAAAUUUGACCUCAAAUCAGGUAGGACUACCCGCUGAACUUAAGCA